RNAcentral lists this unclassified non-coding RNA (166 nucleotides) under uncultured Meliniomyces. RNAcentral's name for it is "sequence contains ITS1". The record is from RNAcentral. Lineage: Eukaryota; Fungi; Ascomycota; Leotiomycetes; Helotiales; Helotiaceae.
CAGAGUUCAUGCCCUUCGGGGUAGAUCUCCACCCUAUGUAUUUAUACUCUUGUUGCUUUGGUAGGCCGCUGGGCUUCGGCUUGGCCACCGGCUCACGCUGGUGUGUGCCUACCAGAGGCUAUCAAACUCUGAAUGUUAGUGUCGUCUGAGUACUAUAUAAUAGUUA